This 450-nucleotide ribosomal RNA is filed under the name uncultured bacterium. Its description in RNAcentral is "bacterial SSU rRNA". It matches the Rfam family "Bacterial small subunit ribosomal RNA", at positions 343 to 791 of the family's 1533-position model. The record is from RNAcentral.
AGGAGGCAGCAGUGGGGAAUAUUGGUCAAUGGAUGCAAGUCUGAACCAGCCAUGCCGCGUGCAGGAAGAAGGCCUUCUGGGUUGUAAACUGCUUUUGCCAGGGGAUAAAAUAUCCUUGCGAGGAUAAUUGAAGGUACCUGGUGAAUAAGCCACGGCUAACUACGUGCCAGCAGCCGCGGUAAUACGUAGGUGGCAAGCGUUGUCCGGAUUUAUUGGGUUUAAAGGGUGCGUAGGCGGUUUUGUAAGUCAGUGGUGAAAUAUAGCAGCUUAACUGUUAGGGUGCCAUUGAUACUGCAGAACUUGAGUACAGAUGAGGUAGGCGGAAUUGACGGUGUAGCGGUGAAAUGCUUAGAUAUCGUCAAGAACACCUAUAGCGAAGGCAGCUUACUAGGCUGUAACUGACGCUGAGGCACGAAAGUGUGGGGAUCAAACAGGAUUAGAUACCCUGGU